UACAGAGGUGGCAAGCGUUGUUCGGAAUUACUGGGCGUAAAGGGCGCGUAGGCGGUUCGUUAAGUCCUGUGUGAAAUCCCCCGGCUCAACUGGGGAACUGCACAGGAAACUAGCGGGCUUGAGUUCGGGAGAGGGAAGCGGAAUUCCGGGUGUAGCGGUGAAAUGCGUAGAUAUCUGGAGGAACACCGGUGGCGAAGGCGGCAUCCUGGACCGGUAUUGACGCUGAGGCGCGAAAGCUAGGGGAGCAAACGGG
This 253-nucleotide ribosomal RNA is filed under the name uncultured bacterium. RNAcentral's name for it is "partial 16S ribosomal RNA". It matches the Rfam family "Bacterial small subunit ribosomal RNA", at positions 524 to 776 of the family's 1533-position model. The record is from RNAcentral.